CCUAUGGGGGGCAGCAGUGGGGAAUAUUGGGCAAUGGGCGCAAGCCUGACCCAGCAACGCCGCGUGAAGGAAGACGGCUUUCGGGUUGUAAACUUCUUUUCUCCGGGACGCAGCAAGUGACGGUACCUGAGGAAUAAGCCACGCCUAACAACGUGCCAGCAGCCGCGGUAAUACGGAGGUGGCAAGCGUUAUCCGGAUUUACUGGGUGUAAAGGGCGCGUAGGCGGGAAAGCAAGUCAGAUGUGAAAACCAUGGGCUCAACCUGUGGCCUGCAUUUGAAACUGUUUUUCUUGAGUACUGGAGAGGCAGGCGGAAUUCGUAGUGUAGCGGUGAAAUGCGUAGAUAUUACGAAGAACCCCGGUUGCGAAGGCAGUCUGCUGGACAGCAACUGACGCUGAGGCGCGAAAGCGUGGGGAGCAAACAGGAUUAGAUACCCGGGUAGUC
RNAcentral lists this ribosomal RNA (443 nucleotides) under uncultured bacterium. RNAcentral describes it as "partial 16S ribosomal RNA". It matches the Rfam family "Bacterial small subunit ribosomal RNA", at positions 338 to 795 of the family's 1533-position model. The record is from RNAcentral.